This 134-nucleotide unclassified non-coding RNA is filed under the name Fusarium oxysporum. Its description in RNAcentral is "partial internal transcribed space 1". The record is from RNAcentral. Lineage: Eukaryota; Fungi; Ascomycota; Sordariomycetes; Hypocreales; Nectriaceae.
UCCCAAACCCCUGUGAACAUACCACUUGUUGCCUCGGCGGAUCAGCCCGCUCCCGGUAAAACGGGACGGCCCGCCAGAGGACCCCUAAACUCUGUUUCUAUAUGUAACUUCUGAGUAAAACCAUAAAUAAAUCA